This is an RNA transcript of Vitis vinifera (wine grape), 1628 nucleotides long. It is a transcript of the gene named WD repeat 2, with no coding region annotated. The transcript has 3 exons. Lineage: Eukaryota; Viridiplantae; Streptophyta; Magnoliopsida; Vitales; Vitaceae. The record is from RefSeq and is marked validated.
AAAGGAUUCCUAAGUUGGAAAUUUGGAAGCAAAAUAGAAAAGAGGGUUUAUCCGCAUGGUUGGUCAGAAACCCACAAAAUCCCCGUAUGAAUGCAAAGAAGUACGAACCCCGUAUCAUAUUAGUGUUUCUGAAUUGUGACCUGUGAGAGAGAUGGGAGCGAGCAGCGAUCCGACUCAGGAUGCCUCCGAUGAGCAGCAGAAGCGAUCGGAAAUCUACACCUACGAGGCUCCCUGGCACAUCUACGCCAUGAAUUGGAGCGUUCGCCGCGACAAGAAGUACCGUCUCGCCAUUGCUAGCCUUCUCGAGCAGUACCCUAAUCGUGUCGAGAUCGUCCAACUUGACGACUCCACCGGAGAGAUCCGCUCCGAUCCUAAUCUUUCCUUUGAGCACCACUAUCCUCCCACUAAGACCAUCUUCAUUCCCGACAAGGACUGCCAGAAGCCCGACCUGCUCGCCACCUCUAGCGAUUUUCUCAGGGUUUGGAACAUCUCCGAUGAUCGCGUUGAGCUCAAAUGUCUACUUAAUGGGAAUCGGAAUAGUGAGUUUUGUGGACCGCUCACCUCCUUCGACUGGAACGAGGCGGAGCCCAAGCGGAUCGGGACUUCCAGUAUUGAUACCACUUGUACCAUCUGGGAUAUUGAGAGGGAGACGGUGGAUACCCAGCUUAUCGCUCAUGAUAAGGAGGUUUUUGAUAUUGCUUGGGGUGGCGUCGGAGUUUUCGCCUCUGUUUCUGCUGAUGGCUCGGUUAGGGUUUUUGAUUUGCGCGAUAAGGAGCACUCGACGAUUAUCUAUGAGAGCUCCGAGCCCGACACUCCUCUUGUUCGGCUCGGUUGGAACAAACAGGAUCCUAGGUACAUGGCUACUAUCAUCAUGGACAGCGCCAAGGUUGUGGUGCUCGACAUCCGCUUCCCUACUCUCCCAGUGGUGGAAUUGCAGAGGCAUCAGGCCAGUGUCAAUGCUAUUGCGUGGGCGCCCCAUAGUUCUUGCCAUAUUUGCACUGCUGGCGAUGAUUCACAGGCCCUAAUCUGGGAUUUGUCAUCCAUGGGGCAGCCUGUGGAAGGGGGAUUGGAUCCGAUUCUGGCAUACACUGCGGGGGCAGAAAUCGAGCAGCUGCAGUGGUCCUCCUCCCAGCCCGAUUGGGUCGCAAUUGCCUUCUCGACUAAGCUUCAGAUACUGAGGGUUUGAGCUCCUGGAAAUGCAAUUGAUGGAUCUUCACCCCUUUGGCAGUGGACAAGUGCAGAGGGGCAGAAAACUAGAUUAAUGUCCUAUUUAUGAUUAAAUCAAUUUGCUUCUCUACCCUCUAGAUAGAGGUGCUCUAACAAAUUUUGAAAUAUUCAGAAGAUUCCAUCAAGUGAAGAAGCUCAGGAGGUAAAGAUUGUUGUCCGUGCACCACCACCACCACCGCCAAUAACUGCUGCUUGCUGGCAACUGCUGAUCUAAUCUCACAAGGGUGGAAGACCGUCAAACCUCUUUACAUGUACCAUGCUCACCCAUUAACUUUAUGUUAAUCCUGUGUUAGAUAUGCUUUUGUAAAGUGCCCAUUAUGUUAAGAUGGAAUAUGAUUGCAGGCAUAACUCUUUCUUUCCCUCUUCUUUAAUAUGAAUUAGAUGCAUUAGUCUUUGUAUAA